RNAcentral lists this ribosomal RNA (438 nucleotides) under Wolbachia endosymbiont of Diaphorina citri. RNAcentral's name for it is "bacterial SSU rRNA". It matches the Rfam family "Bacterial small subunit ribosomal RNA", at positions 993 to 1428 of the family's 1533-position model. The record is from RNAcentral. Lineage: Bacteria; Pseudomonadati; Pseudomonadota; Alphaproteobacteria; Rickettsiales; Anaplasmataceae. RNAcentral also lists the same sequence under 1 other name.
CCCCUUUUUUUUUAGGGAUAGGGUCGGCUCGGCCGGAUUUUACACAGGUGUUGCAUGGCUGUCGUCAGCUCGUGUCGUGAGAUGUUGGGUUAAGUCCCGCAACGAGCGCAACCCUCAUCCUUAGUUGCCAUCAGGUAAUGCUGAGCACUUUAAGGAAACUGCCAGUGAUAAGCUGGAGGAAGAUGGGGAUGAUGUCAAGUCAUCAUGGCCUUUAUGAAGUGGGCUACACACGUGCUACAAUGGUGUCUACAGUGGGCUGCAAGGUGCGCAAGCCUAAGCUAAUCCCUAAAAGACAUCUCAGUUCGGAUUGUACUCUGCAACUCGAGUGCAUGAAGUUGGAAUCGCUAGUAAUCGUGGAUCAGCAUGCCACGGUGAAUACGUUCUCGGGUCUUGUACACACUGCCCGUCACGCCAUGGGAAUUGGUUCCUCUCAAACUU